UGGGGAAUCUUGCGCAAUGGGCGAAAGCCUGACGCAGCGACGCCGCGUGCGGGAGGAAGCUUUUCGGAGUGUAAACCGCUGUCAGAGGGGAAGAAAUGCCACCCGAGGAAAUGCGGGUGGUUUGACGGUACCCUCAAAGGAAGCACCGGCUAACUCUGUGCCAGCAGCCGCGGUAAUACAGAGGGUGCAAGCGUUGUUCGGAAUUACUGGGCGUAAAGCGCGCGCAGGCGGCCCUUUAAGUCUGUCGGUCAAACGCCGGGGCUCAACCCCGUGCUCGCCGCGGAUACUGGAGGGCUGGAGACAGGUAGAGGCAGGCGGAAUUCCGGGUGUAGCGGUGGAAUGCGUAGAGAUCCGGAAGAACACCAGAGGCGAAGGCGGCCUGCUGGGCCUUGUCUGACGCUGAGGCGCGAAAGCGUGGGGAGCGAACAGG
Molecule: ribosomal RNA, 430 nt
Filed under: uncultured bacterium
Lineage: Bacteria
Description: bacterial SSU rRNA
Rfam family: Bacterial small subunit ribosomal RNA
Source: RNAcentral